This 549-nucleotide ribosomal RNA is filed under the name uncultured Glomeromycotina. Its description in RNAcentral is "SSU rRNA". It matches the Rfam family "Eukaryotic small subunit ribosomal RNA", at positions 548 to 1098 of the family's 1831-position model. The record is from RNAcentral. Lineage: Eukaryota; Fungi; Glomeromycota.
UUGGAGGGCAAGUCUGGUGCCAGCAGCCGCGGUAAUUCCAGCUCCAAUAGCGUAUAUUAAAGUUGUUGCAGUUAAAAAGCUCGUAGUUGAAUUUCGAGAUCAGUACGCUGGUCGUGCCUUCGGUAUGCACUGGUGUCACUGGUUUCUCCCUUCUGAAGAACCGUCAUGUCAUUAAGUUGGUGUGGCGGGGAAUCAGGACUGUUACUUUGAAAAAAUUAGAGUGUUUAAAGCAGGCUCGCGCUUGAAUACAUUAGCAUGGAAUAAUGAAAUAGGACGUUUGACCCUAUUUCGUUGGUUUCUAGGAUCGACGUAAUGAUUAAUAGGGAUAGUUGGGGGCAUUAGUAUUCAAUUGUCAGAGGUGAAAUUCUUGGAUUUAUUGAAGACUAACUACUGCGAAAGCAUUUGCCAAGGAUGUUUUCAUUAAUCAAGAACGAAAGUUAGGGGAUCGAAGACGAUCAGAUACCGUCGUAGUCUUAACCAUAAACUAUGCCGACUAGGGAUCGGACGAAGUUAAUUUUAUAAUGACGCGUUCGGCGCCUUACGGGAAAC